AGGGCACCACCAGGAGUGGAGCCUGCGGCUUAAUUUGACUCAACACGGGAAAUCUCACCAGGCCCGGACACUGGAAGGAUUGACAGAUUGAGAGCUCUUUCUUGAUUCAGUGGGUGGUGGUGCAUGGCCGUUCUUAGUUGGUGGAGCGAUUUGUCUGGUUAAUUCCGGUAACGAACGAGACUCUGGCCUACUAACUAGACGUUAGAUCCUUUAUGGGUUUGACGAUGCUUCUUAGAGGGACGGGCGGCUUUUAGCCGCACGAGAAUGAGCAAUAACAGGUCUGUGAUGCCCUUAGAUGUUCUGGGCUGCACGCGCGCUACACUGAAGGAAUCAGCGUGCUAAAACCAUUGUCGAAAGGCAUUGGUAAACCCAUCAAAAUCCUACGUGAUUGGGAUCGGGAAUUGCAAUUAUUUCCCUUGAACGAGGAAUUCCCAGUAAGUGUGGGUCAUAAGCUCGCGUUGAUUACGUCCCUGCCCUUUGUACACACCGCCCGUCGCUGCCCGGGACUGAGCCGUUUCG
This 519-nucleotide ribosomal RNA is filed under the name uncultured eukaryote. RNAcentral describes it as "bacterial SSU rRNA". It matches the Rfam family "Eukaryotic small subunit ribosomal RNA", at positions 1161 to 1701 of the family's 1831-position model. The record is from RNAcentral.